UGUCGUGGCCACCGCUGCGCCUGCGCACUGUCUGGAGGCCUGGAGCUCCCUGGGAAAUGAGUACCAAACGGAGAUCAGGAAUUUCUAAGAGAAGUUAGGCAACUGACCACCUGCCAGUGAAAGGCAGGACCAAACCCAGCCUAACUUCCUUUUGUUUCCCUUCCUAUUUUUUGAGACAGGAUGCAAUUAGCUCAGACUGGCCUCUAAUUCCUGCCUCCAUCACCCCAGGUUUGGGAUAACACAGUUAUCCUCGCCAAGUUUUAUGGGUGCUGGAACUAGAAUGCUACUGGGUCACAUCUGCACACCGUCCCUUCUGGGUUUAGACAACUUGUGAGUUAAAGAUUCAAUCAUGCUGACUCACCGGUCCACCUGGGAAAAGUGUCAGCAACUGCUCCAGGUCCUUGUCAUGACAGAGGAGAGAAAGAGAGAGAGGAUCAUGGAGACACCCGGAAAUUGGUUCCAGGAGCAAAUGGGCUGCUGCCCACCCAAGCCCAGGCUGAUAUGGAUGUAGCCUUUCCUUUGACUCGACUCAACUGGAAUUUAACACUGCUGAAGGGGCAGCUGUGAGGGGCCUGGGCUGAAAUCUGAGCCAUCAGUGUCAGACACAAAUCACCAAAUGCCUACCUUCCCUCGUGAGCAAAUUACUUAGCUCAGUGGGUCUCCCGGGUUCCGAGGUGGCUGCUCUCCUGGACUCCAGCUGUCAGAACUACCCAUUGCCCCACAUUGACCCAGAAGCCAGAGAGCACCAGUCAGCUGUAAACAUGACUCUUGUUAACCAAGCUGCCCCUGACAUCUGUCUGAAGCUUCAGUACCUGGACAGCUUUGCAGGAAGGAAGCAUGGACUCACAAGCUCAACGGUCUUAAUGAGUCACUGAUGCACCCAGGAGCAGUCCCCUCAGCAGCCUCUGCCACCAGCGCCCUUGCCACAUCGGCUGCUCCAUCCGGCUGUGUCAUCCUUCCCUGUACCAUCCGGGCUCCUCCGAGGGAGCAACCCUGAGCAUGGCCUACCCUUUCUUCCUUCUCACCCCACUUUCUCGGCCUCGUUGUCUUUCUUCUCAAUUCUCAUGUUCAAGCAAUGGGCAUCAUUCCGAAAUGUCAUAGUCACACAAACACUGUGUGCCACACUGUAAUGGCUCCAGGUCCGCCUUUGGUAAGCUCCUAUUCAAGGCCCCAGCCACUAGAUGUGGAAGCUCCCUGCAAUCCUAAAAAAACAGAAGUGGAAGCAAGAACUGUGUCUCAAAAGCAAGACAGAACAAAAGCAAAAACUUAUAAUCCGUCUGUGUCAUAUUAACAGCAAAAAUGACAACUAAUACCCAA
Mastomys coucha (southern multimammate mouse) is the source of this 1317-nucleotide long non-coding RNA. RefSeq lists it as uncharacterized. The record is from RefSeq and is a predicted model, not a curated record. NCBI's taxonomy places the organism in Eukaryota, Metazoa, Chordata, Mammalia, Rodentia, Muridae. The transcript has 4 exons.